CCUACGGGAGGCAGCAGUGAGGAAUAUUGGUCAAUGGACGAGAGUCUGAACCAGCCAAGUAGCGUGAAGGAUGACUGCCCUAUGGGUUGUAAACUUCUUUUAUAUGAGAAUAAAAUGUUCCACGUGUGGGAUUUUGUAUGUACCAUAUGAAUAAGGAUCGGCUAACUCCGUGCCAGCAGCCGCGGUAAUACGGAGGAUUCGAGCGUUAUCCGGAUUUAUUGGGUUUAAAGGGUGCGUAGGUGGAUUGAUAAGUCAGAUGUGAAAGUCUGAGGCUCAACCGUAAAAUUGCCGUUGAGACUGGCAGUCGUGAGUGUAGUAGAGGUGGGCGGAAUGCGUGGUGUAGCGGUGAAAUGCUUAGAUAUCACGAAGAACUCCGAUUGCGAAGGCAGCUCACUGGACUGCAACUGACACUGAGGCUCGAAAGUGUGGGUAUCAAACAGGAUUAGAUACCCGUGUAGUC
Molecule: ribosomal RNA, 460 nt
Filed under: uncultured bacterium
Lineage: Bacteria
Description: partial 16S ribosomal RNA
Rfam family: Bacterial small subunit ribosomal RNA
Source: RNAcentral